AUUCCAGCUCCAAUAGCGUAUAUUAAAGUUGUUGCAGUUAAAAAGCUCGUAGUUGGACUUCUGAUUCGAAAGAUCGGUCCGCCGCAAGGCGAGCACUGAUUCUUCGAGUCUUCCUCUCGUAGUUGUUUGGCGCACUUGAUUGGGUGCCAGAUGAAUAUGGGACCUUUACUUUGAAAAAAUUAGAGUGUUCAAAGCAGGCAAUCGCUUGAAUACAUUAGCAUGGAAUAAUAGAAUAGGACUUUGGUUCUAUUUUGUUGGUUUCUAGGACCGAGGUAAUGAUUAAUAGGGACAGUUGGGGGCAUUAGUAUUUAAUUGUCAGAGGUGAAAUUCUUGGAUUUAUGAAAGACUAACUACUGCGAAAGCAUUUGCCAAGGAUGUUUUCAUUA
This 386-nucleotide ribosomal RNA is filed under the name Choanoflagellata sp. RNAcentral's name for it is "partial small subunit ribosomal RNA". It matches the Rfam family "Eukaryotic small subunit ribosomal RNA", at positions 582 to 975 of the family's 1831-position model. The record is from RNAcentral. Lineage: Eukaryota; Choanoflagellata.